Molecule: ribosomal RNA, 433 nt
Filed under: uncultured bacterium
Lineage: Bacteria
Description: partial 16S ribosomal RNA
Rfam family: Bacterial small subunit ribosomal RNA
Source: RNAcentral
AACGAACGCUGGCGGCAUGCCUAACACAUGCAAGUCGAACGAGACCUUCGGGUCUAGUGGCGCACGGGUGCGUAACGCGUGGGAAUCUGCCCUUGGGUUCGGAAUAACAGUGAGAAAUUACUGCUAAUACCGGAUGAUGUCUUCGGACCAAAGAUUUAUCGCCCAGGGAUGAGCCCGCGUAGGAUUAGCUAGUUGGUGGGGUAAUGGCCUACCAAGGCGACGAUCCUUAGCUGGUCUGAGAGGAUGAUCAGCCACACUGGGACUGAGACACGGCCCAGACUCCUACGGGAGGCAGCAGUGGGGAAUAUUGGACAAUGGGCGCAAGCCUGAUCCAGCAAUGCCGCGUGAGUGAUGAGGGCCUUAGGGUUGUAAAGCUCUUUUACCCGGGAUGAUAAUGACAGUACCGGGAGAAUAAGCUCCGGCUAACUCCGUG